This 2270-nucleotide ribosomal RNA is filed under the name Escherichia coli. RNAcentral describes it as "partial 23S ribosomal RNA". It matches the Rfam family "Bacterial large subunit ribosomal RNA", at positions 695 to 2925 of the family's 2925-position model. Lineage: Bacteria; Pseudomonadati; Pseudomonadota; Gammaproteobacteria; Enterobacterales; Enterobacteriaceae. The record is from RNAcentral. RNAcentral also lists the same sequence under 1 other name.
UUAAGUUGCAGGGUAUAGACCCGAAACCCGGUGAUCUAGCCAUGGGCAGGUUGAAGGUUGGGUAACACUAACUGGAGGACCGAACCGACUAAUGUUGAAAAAUUAGCGGAUGACUUGUGGCUGGGGGUGAAAGGCCAAUCAAACCGGGAGAUAGCUGGUUCUCCCCGAAAGCUAUUUAGGUAGCGCCUCGUGAAUUCAUCUCCGGGGGUAGAGCACUGUUUCGGCAAGGGGGUCAUCCCGACUUACCAACCCGAUGCAAACUGCGAAUACCGGAGAAUGUUAUCACGGGAGACACACGGCGGGUGCUAACGUCCGUCGUGAAGAGGGAAACAACCCAGACCGCCAGCUAAGGUCCCAAAGUCAUGGUUAAGUGGGAAACGAUGUGGGAAGGCCCAGACAGCCAGGAUGUUGGCUUAGAAGCAGCCAUCAUUUAAAGAAAGCGUAAUAGCUCACUGGUCGAGUCGGCCUGCGCGGAAGAUGUAACGGGGCUAAACCAUGCACCGAAGCUGCGGCAGCGACACUGUGUGUUGUUGGGUAGGGGAGCGUUCUGUAAGCCUGUGAAGGUGUGCUGUGAGGCAUGCUGGAGGUAUCAGAAGUGCGAAUGCUGACAUAAGUAACGAUAAAGCGGGUGAAAAGCCCGCUCGCCGGAAGACCAAGGGUUCCUGUCCAACGUUAAUCGGGGCAGGGUGAGUCGACCCCUAAGGCGAGGCCGAAAGGCGUAGUCGAUGGGAAACAGGUUAAUAUUCCUGUACUUGGUGUUACUGCGAAGGGGGGACGGAGAAGGCUAUGUUGGCCGGGCGACGGUUGUCCCGGUUUAAGCGUGUAGGCUGGUUUUCCAGGCAAAUCCGGAAAAUCAAGGCUGAGGCGUGAUGACGAGGCACUACGGUGCUGAAGCAACAAAUGCCCUGCUUCCAGGAAAAGCCUCUAAGCAUCAGGUAACAUCAAAUCGUACCCCAAACCGACACAGGUGGUCAGGUAGAGAAUACCAAGGCGCUUGAGAGAACUCGGGUGAAGGAACUAGGCAAAAUGGUGCCGUAACUUCGGGAGAAGGCACGCUGAUAUGUAGGUGAAGUCCCUCGCGGAUGGAGCUGAAAUCAGUCGAAGAUACCAGCUGGCUGCAACUGUUUAUUAAAAACACAGCACUGUGCAAACACGAAAGUGGACGUAUACGGUGUGACGCCUGCCCGGUGCCGGAAGGUUAAUUGAUGGGGUCAGCGCAAGCGAAGCUCUUGAUCGAAGCCCCGGUAAACGGCGGCCGUAACUAUAACGGUCCUAAGGUAGCGAAAUUCCUUGUCGGGUAAGUUCCGACCUGCACGAAUGGCGUAAUGAUGGCCAGGCUGUCUCCACCCGAGACUCAGUGAAAUUGAACUCGCUGUGAAGAUGCAGUGUACCCGCGGCAAGACGGAAAGACCCCGUGAACCUUUACUAUAGCUUGACACUGAACAUUGAGCCUUGAUGUGUAGGAUAGGUGGGAGGCUUUGAAGUGUGGACGCCAGUCUGCAUGGAGCCGACCUUGAAAUACCACCCUUUAAUGUUUGAUGUUCUAACGUGGACCCGUGAUCCGGGUUGCGGACAGUGUCUGGUGGGUAGUUUGACUGGGGCGGUCUCCUCCUAAAGAGUAACGGAGGAGCACGAAGGUUGGCUAAUCCUGGUCGGACAUCAGGAGGUUAGUGCAAUGGCAUAAGCCAGCUUGACUGCGAGCGUGACGGCGCGAGCAGGUGCGAAAGCAGGUCAUAGUGAUCCGGUGGUUCUGAAUGGAAGGGCCAUCGCUCAACGGAUAAAAGGUACUCCGGGGAUAACAGGCUGAUACCGCCCAAGAGUUCAUAUCGACGGCGGUGUUUGGCACCUCGAUGUCGGCUCAUCACAUCCUGGGGCUGAAGUAGGUCCCAAGGGUAUGGCUGUUCGCCAUUUAAAGUGGUACGCGAGCUGGGUUUAGAACGUCGUGAGACAGUUCGGUCCCUAUCUGCCGUGGGCGCUGGAGAACUGAGGGGGGCUGCUCCUAGUACGAGAGGACCGGAGUGGACGCAUCACUGGUGUUCGGGUUGUCAUGCCAAUGGCACUGCCCGGUAGCUAAAUGCGGAAGAGAUAAGUGCUGAAAGCAUCUAAGCACGAAACUUGCCCCGAGAUGAGUUCUCCCUGACCCUUUAAGGGUCCUGAAGGAACGUUGAAGACGACGACGUUGAUAGGCCGGGUGUGUAAGCGCAGCGAUGCGUUGAGCUAACCGGUACUAAUGAACCGUGAGGCUUAACCUUACAACGCCGAAGGUGUUU